Molecule: ribosomal RNA, 165 nt
Filed under: uncultured bacterium
Lineage: Bacteria
Description: partial 16S rRNA
Rfam family: Bacterial small subunit ribosomal RNA
Source: RNAcentral
UAGGGGAAUCUUCCACAAUGGGCGCAAGCCUGAUGGAGCAACACCGCGUGAGUGAAGAAGGGUUUCGGCUCGUAAAGCUCUGUUGUUAAAGAAGAACACGUAUGAGAGUAACUGUUCAUACGUUGACGGUAUUUAACCAGAAAGUCACGGCUAACUACGUGCCAC